CAGUUUCUUAUCACGUAACCUUUCAAUGGUGUCCUUAUCAUCCCUUAAGUCCAGCUUGGUGCCCACCAAGAUGAUAGGUGUAUUUGGGCAGUGGUGUCGGACCUCAGGGUACCACUUGGCUCUGACAUUCUCAAAGGAGGCUGGACUCACGAGGGAGAAGCAAAUCAAGAAAACAUCUGUCUGUGGGUAGGAAAGAGGCCGCAGUCGGUCAUAAUCCUCUUGUCCUGCUGUAUCCCAGAGGCCUAGAUUCACUGGCUUCCCAUCUACCAUGACAUUGGCAGAAUAGUUAUCAAAUACAGUGGGGAUGUACUCUCCAGGAAAGGCAUUCGUGGUGUAACUGAUCAGCAAGCAGGUCUUCCCUACAGCUCCGUCGCCCACCACCACACACUUGAUCGCCUGCAUCUGCCCGCGAUGGCGGCGCCGCCGCGACUCCGCCGCAGUGACAGCCCGCGCGGGCGGGGCGGGGCGAGCCGAGC
Molecule: long non-coding RNA, 476 nt
Filed under: Gallus gallus (chicken)
Lineage: Eukaryota; Metazoa; Chordata; Aves; Galliformes; Phasianidae
Source: RNAcentral